This 343-nucleotide unclassified non-coding RNA is filed under the name soil metagenome. RNAcentral describes it as "partial contains 5.8S ribosomal RNA, internal transcribed spacer 2, and large subunit ribosomal RNA". The stretch from base 1 to 120 matches the Rfam family "5.8S ribosomal RNA", at positions 35 to 154 of the family's 154-position model. The record is from RNAcentral.
GAUGAAGAACGUAGCGAAAUGCGAUAAGUAAUGUGAAUUGCAGAAUUCAGUGAAUCAUCGAAUCUUUGAACGCACAUUGCGCCCGCUAGUAUUCUGGCGGGCAUGCCUGUCCGAGCGUCAUUUCAACCCUCAAGCCCCCGGGCUUGGUGUUGGGGAUCGGCGAGCCUCAGCGCCCGCCGUCCCCUAAAUCUAGUGGCGGUCUCGCUGUAGCUUCCUCUGCGUAGUAGCACACCUCGCACUGGGAAACAGCGCGGCCACGCCGUUAAACCCCCAACUUCUGAACGUUUGACCUCGGAUCAGGUAGGAAUACCCGCUGAACUUAAGCAUAUCAAUAAGCGGAGGA